UGAUCAUUGGAAUUGAAUCGGUGUUUCAUCAUACAAAGAUGGGCUCUUAUAAAUCUGAUCAUAAUCCAGCCCUUAAAGCUUCACUCGAUUAAGCUCUACCAUCUUCUUGUUAGUCUCCAAGGCCAAACAAACCGAGGGUAUCGGUAUCUCAACCCUCCUCCUCGUAAGGAUUCUAACCGCCGGGGGACGGAAGAAUCGGGCGAUUGACGAUGGUGGUCGUCUCCCGCCCGCCGCGUGCCUUUUGAUAGUCGAGCGACGGCGUGGCGAGCAAGGGUCACCCGCAGGUCUAUUUUGUGGAGAAUUAACUGGCCAUUAUUUGAACAGGUUUUUUUUAUUCUAAAGUGGCAAAAAGUGGUUGAAUUAUUAAUUUUCCUUUGUAAUUUAUUACUGAAGUAGUGUUAUGGAUAAUCUUUAGCCCAGAAAUUUUGAUGAUCUGAUUGAGCCCAGGAAGCAGCAUGAGUCCAGAUGUUUUUUCAUUUAUGGAAGAUUUGCUUAACUAGUUGAAUUGAGUUGUGUAUGGACUCAUUUAAGUUUGAAUUUAGUAUUGAAAA
Molecule: long non-coding RNA, 551 nt
Organism: Musa acuminata AAA Group (dessert banana)
Lineage: Eukaryota; Viridiplantae; Streptophyta; Magnoliopsida; Zingiberales; Musaceae
Exons: 2
Source: RefSeq, a predicted model, not a curated record